UUCCCGCUUCCAUCCCCAGCGCCGCAUCUCUGUGGGACACCCGACAGCGGCGCGCCGGGGGCGGCCCGGAGGGGCUGAGCAGCUGGGGCGCGGCGGGAGCGUUUGGGACGGAGCUGCACCUCUGACACAGGGCUCUCCGGGCUGCGGGUACAGCGCUGGGCCCAGGGGAUGCCCCGACGGCCCGGGGAAAGCUGCUUAAUGCCCCUCCCGGCGGGGCGCGCACCCCCGAGAGCGGAGCGGCCGCGCUCAGCCGCAGGCGCUCGUUGGUGAGAGAAGCGGAGCAGUUCCGCAGCCUCGGCCGCCACCGCGUGGGAGCAGCCGGAGGUGCAGCUCCUUAUUCCUCCACCCAUCAACCCGUCGGGGCAGCGCUGACCGAACCCCGCACGGCUCCGGGUGGUGCCGCAACCUGAGGUUGGGCUCAGCUGUGCGGGGUGGGCAGCGGGAGCGGAUCGCCAGCACCUGGGGUGAGGGAGGAAAGGGACGUAUAAACGGGCACUGCCCCUUCCCCUGGGUUCCUCUCGGUCCUUGGAGCUUUGCUUUUACUUUGAGGAGCUCUCGUGGUUUUUUUGGGGCCGUCGGUUGAGUUGCAGUGCGCGACCUUGCUGGUAUCUCAGCUGGAUGCAGCUCCUAAUGAAGCUGUGGCCCCGGCCCUGCAUGCACGUGAGCUCUCCUCCCAAAUAUUUUGCACCUGGUGCCACCGGCCCCGCUUCAAAGCAGGGCUCGCACUGGGGCCCUAUGAGCUGGGCACGCACCUCCAGCGGUGGAAUUAGACACUAAGGAAUGAACUCCCAUUAUUUUCCUGUGGAACUGAGCCACUGUUGCCACCGUGCGGGCGUUUGGCAGAGAGAUGCUCCGCAGCCUCAGUGCUGGGGCAGCAGCGAUGUCCCUGCAGUCUGACUGCCCACAACCACCCCUCUGCCAUUGCUACGAAUCGGUGCUGAUUGCUACCAGCGAGCAGUGGGCUGUGCCACCGCAGCUCCUGCACCCGAGGAGGAAGGAGAGGAAGGAAUGAUUUCUGGGGAUCCUUUGCUUCUGCUGCCCCAGCUCUGGAAGCAGGCAGCCUUCAGCUGCUGAGGCUGUUAAUGUCACCUUUCCCAAGUGCUACGCUUGCAAAGCAACCUGCCAAGUAUAGCACGUCUUAAUUUGCUCCUUUCCCAUGCAUUCCUGGAUUUACAGCUUGGUUUCGUCUGGCUGCUGCUUGCUGGGAGGGGUGAAGCCCCUCUGGAGGGCUGCUCUGAGCCUUGUAGGUUCCCAUGCUGCUCCCUGAAAAGCAUCACCCAAACAGAGGUUCAGGUUUGAUUGGGCAGAAAUUGAUCUCCUGGCAUCACUUAUCUAUGCAAUGACUGCAGCAGGCUCCUCUCCCGGCACCCGUACGUUGUUCUGUAUUCUCCUUAAAUGCUUUUUAGGUAGUGUGGAUUCGGCACUGCUGUAAUAAUGUGUAAAAUGAAGAAAAAAUGAAACAGCUUAGGAAAAAAUGCAUUUUCAGUGAUGCCCGUGCUGGGCUGAAAAGUACAUUUGCAGUCGCUUGCCAUCUGCAGCAACUUGUCCAAAGCAAACAUUACCCGUCGGGCCAGGUCUGGCUGCGUAAUUGCCAUAAACCAUCACGAGGGCAUCCAGAAUAGCACAGCCCUGGAACGACUUCGAGGAUUAGGUCCUACUCCCUUGAAAAAUAAACCUUGGCAAAAGCUCAGCUCUCCCUAAUAAAAAUUCCAUUUUCACAGCUCUAAUCAAGUUUUCCAGAGCUGCGGUCCAAAUUAGGAUCUGCGUGCAGAAUAUCCGACCCAGGAGAACGGGAUGGAGCCUUGCAUGGGAAGCUGUGCCAG
This is a long non-coding RNA of Tympanuchus pallidicinctus (lesser prairie-chicken), 1823 nucleotides long. RefSeq lists it as uncharacterized. The transcript is spliced from 2 exons. The record is from RefSeq and is a predicted model, not a curated record. Lineage: Eukaryota; Metazoa; Chordata; Aves; Galliformes; Phasianidae.